GUUAUUAAGGGCGCACGGUGGAUGCCUUGGCACUAGAAGCCGAUGAAGGACGUUACUAACGACGAUAUGCUUUGGGGAGCUGUAAGUAAGCUUUGAUCCAGAGAUUUCCGAAUGGGGAAACCCAGCAUGAGUUAUGUCAUGUUAUCGAUAUGUGAAUACAUAGCAUAUCAGAAGGCACACCCGGAGAACUGAAACAUCUUAGUACCCGGA
Molecule: ribosomal RNA, 210 nt
Filed under: Staphylococcus aureus
Lineage: Bacteria; Bacillati; Bacillota; Bacilli; Caryophanales; Staphylococcaceae
Description: partial 23S ribosomal RNA
Rfam family: Bacterial large subunit ribosomal RNA
Source: RNAcentral